Molecule: long non-coding RNA, 311 nt
Filed under: Physcomitrium patens
Lineage: Eukaryota; Viridiplantae; Streptophyta; Bryopsida; Funariales; Funariaceae
Description: long non-coding RNA (PPAT_LNC011806)
Source: RNAcentral
GAAGAGAACACUUUUGCAGCUAUACUUUUCACAUAUUGCUUACUGGAUUCGAAGUUGAAAUGAAGGAGUUAUUGCAUUUUGAAGUCAGCACUUGGAAUCUAAGGGUGUAAGUAGCCCGAUUUACUUGUGCUUGUGAUUUGAGCUAUAUCUUAGACAAUUUGAUGAGGUUUUGGCUCAAAAUUUCCAAGAUUGUGUAUAAUCUUAUUAUAAAUCUUUUUAAAUAAGUUUUGUAGAAUUUGGAGUUUGGAUUUUUGAGAUAUAAGGAAAAUAGUUUUUUGGAUGCUUAUAAAUUAGGGUUUAGAGUGCCUACU